GGGCCUGUAGUAAAAUGGCAUUAUGCAAGGCUGGCAGUCUUGAGGUCCGAGUUCAAUUCUCGGCAGGUCCA
Molecule: transfer RNA, 71 nt
Filed under: Candidatus Woesearchaeota archaeon
Lineage: Archaea; Nanobdellati; Candidatus Woesearchaeota
Description: tRNA-Ala
Rfam family: tRNA
About the family: Transfer RNA (tRNA) molecules are approximately 80 nucleotides in length. Their secondary structure includes four short double-helical elements and three loops (D, anti-codon, and T loops).
Source: RNAcentral